This 331-nucleotide ribosomal RNA is filed under the name uncultured eukaryote. Its description in RNAcentral is "partial 18S ribosomal RNA". It matches the Rfam family "Eukaryotic small subunit ribosomal RNA", at positions 1470 to 1796 of the family's 1831-position model. The record is from RNAcentral.
CCCUUAGAUGUUCUGGGCCGCACGCGCGCUACACUGUUCGACGCAGCGAGUCUUAACCUUGACCGAAAGGUUUGGGUAAUCUUCAGCAAAGUCGAACGUGAUGGGGAUCGAUCAUUGCAAUUAUUGAUCGUGAACGAGGAAUUCCUAGUAAGUGCAAGUCAUCAGCUUGCGCUGAUUACGUCCCUGCCCUUUGUACACACCGCCCGUCGCUACUACCGAUUGAAUGGUUUAGUGAGAUCUCUGGAUUGACGCUGGCUAGGGGGCGACCCUUGGCCAGGCUGUCGAGAAACUGCUCAAACUUGAUCAUUUAGAGGAAGUAAAAGGCGUAACA